CUGAAGGAUGGGAGCGGCUGUGCCUGCUUCUGAGGUCACAGCUUGAAGUCCUUUUAACUUGCUUUCUGCUGCAGGAGAGAGGCAUAUUGUGGUAUAACUGUCGCUGCAUUUAUUCAAACGGACAAUUUGCAAUAAAUAUUAUACCCAGAACAACAGAACACUCCACCAUAUGAGUGCACUGCUGAGGGCAUGUGAUCAUCGACUCACAAAUGACGGGAUAACUGGUGACACCAUAGGACAAAUCACCAGCAGAAAACAAAUGUGUGAGCAAGACAUGAAAGAUGCUUUUAUGCUGGAACAGCAAGAAACCCAUUAAAUGAAAUAAAUUACAUGCUGCCAGGGUGAUGACUCACUGUCCUAUUGAAAAAGGCAAUAUUUUGGGGUGAAGGAAAAGAUAGCGCCGUAUGACACAGAGAGGCUCAAAAUAAUGAAAAACUUUUCUUUCUGACUCGAGUGUGCCUAUUCGGAUCGGAAGACAGAGACUUCCAACAACACUCAGUAAAGUGCAUAUUAAAAAAAUGUGUUAAAAUAUUGCUACUUAGAUUCCUGAAAUCACUUGCUCUGUGCGGACACAGCUAAUCUGCCUUUAGACCUGCUCUCCUCUUCCCCAGACUACCUGUAAAGUCAGUGAGAUAAAAAGACCAAAAUCUCACUUACGUAAUUCAUCAAAAUCAAAAAUCUAAAGAAUACUCUCACGGUAAUUAUUCUUCGUUUUUACCUCUUUUUACCAGAUUCUCUUUCUGUCUAGUCAAUGCUCCUUCUUUACACUCAAUACCAAAAGUGCAGCAGCAU
Molecule: long non-coding RNA, 792 nt
Filed under: Equus asinus (donkey)
Lineage: Eukaryota; Metazoa; Chordata; Mammalia; Perissodactyla; Equidae
Description: lncRNA (ENSEASG00005035987.1)
Source: RNAcentral